This 465-nucleotide ribosomal RNA is filed under the name uncultured bacterium. RNAcentral describes it as "partial 16S ribosomal RNA". It matches the Rfam family "Bacterial small subunit ribosomal RNA", at positions 28 to 507 of the family's 1533-position model. The record is from RNAcentral.
GACGAACGCUGGCGGCGUGCUUAACACAUGCAAGUCGAACGGAAAGGCCCUGCUUGCGGGGUACUCGCGUGGCGAAAGGGGGAGUAAAACGCGGGAGUUCUGCCCUCCACUUCGGGAUAUGACUUGGAAACAGGGGGUAAUACAGGAUAGAAGCGCUCCUGCGUGUGGGGGGUGGUAAGAUUUUUUGGUGUGGGAGGAGUGCGCGGCCUAUCAAUUUGCUGGUGGGGGAAUGGCCUACCAAGGAGGCGUCGGGUAGGCGGCCUGAGAGGGUGGACGGCCACAAUGGGAAUGGGGUACGGCCCAGACUCCCACGGGGGGCAGGAAUGGGGAAAAUUGCACAAUGGGGGCGAGCCUGAAGCAAGGACGCCGCGUGGGGGAUGAAGGGCUUCGGGUUGGAAACUCCUUUCGGUAUGGACGAAGCUGUUUGUGACGGUACCUAGAAAAGAAGCACCGGCUAACUACGUG